Molecule: ribosomal RNA, 435 nt
Filed under: uncultured Pedobacter sp.
Lineage: Bacteria; Pseudomonadati; Bacteroidota; Sphingobacteriia; Sphingobacteriales; Sphingobacteriaceae
Description: bacterial SSU rRNA
Rfam family: Bacterial small subunit ribosomal RNA
Source: RNAcentral
GGAAUAUUGGUCAAUGGAGGCAACUCUGAACCAGCCAUGCCGCGUGCAGGAAGACGGCCCUCUGGGUUGUAAACUGCUUUUAUUCGGGAAUAAACCUACUUACGUGUAAGUAGCUGAAUGUACCGAAGGAAUAAGGAUCGGCUAACUCCGUGCCAGCAGCCGCGGUAAUACGGAGGAUCCAAGCGUUAUCCGGAUUUAUUGGGUUUAAAGGGUGCGUAGGCGGCCUAUUAAGUCAGGGGUGAAAGACGGUAGCUCAACUAUCGCAGUGCCUUUGAUACUGAUGGGCUUGAAUGGACUAGAGGUAGGCGGAAUGUGACAAGUAGCGGUGAAAUGCAUAGAUAUGUCACAGAACACCGAUUGCGAAGGCAGCUUACUAUGGUCUUAUUGACGCUGAGGCACGAAAGCGUGGGGAUCAAACAGGAUUAGAUACCCCUG